UAGCUUGUCAGAGUGGUUGUGAUGUGCGUCAUGUUGUACUCGUAUCACAGCCAGCUUUGAUGAGCGCUA
Molecule: non-coding RNA, 69 nt
Organism: Daphnia pulex (common water flea)
Lineage: Eukaryota; Metazoa; Arthropoda; Branchiopoda; Diplostraca; Daphniidae
Source: Rfam